RNAcentral lists this long non-coding RNA (38959 nucleotides) under Solanum tuberosum (potato). RNAcentral describes it as "long non-coding RNA (STUB_LNC010913)". Lineage: Eukaryota; Viridiplantae; Streptophyta; Magnoliopsida; Solanales; Solanaceae. The record is from RNAcentral.
UUUAUUUGUGUUGGAGCUGUUACUUUUUCCCGGCCCUGGUGUGUGGAUUAAAGAAUCUCUCCACAUGUUGUGGUGAGGUGAUGUUGCCGGAGCAAUAAUCUCAACAGAGCAGUAUGUCAUAGUUAUCGUACCAAAUGCCUUGAUGGUUGUACUUUGCUUUGUCAAGACUGGAAAUCUGUCUGGACUAAUCAAUUUCCAAAUGGUAUAUGCUUCCACCAAAUUUUCUACUAUGAUCAAUUUACAUCAGCAAUGGGGGGGAAAGAAUGAGCAGCAGGAAUCCUACUAAUUGAGUUAAGGAAGCAAACCUCUCCAUUUUUACCGUUGAUGCAAUAGAAGUUCUUAAUGCAAUAUUUGGUGGUGAUUGGUGAUGACGUUCUCACUCCUAUAAUUGGAGUUGAUAGUACUAGUUAUGUUAGAAUAAGAGCUCUCGCUACAACAUGUUAUGCAGAUAUCCUUCGUUAUACUUUAAGAUUGUAUAUAUCCUUACCGUCAAUAUUUUGGCAUGCGUAUUUCCUUAAAACUAAUGCCUGGACACGUGACUUCAUCUCUAUAAUUUACCAGACAUUUUAUUAAUAUUUUUUACCAAAAAUUAAAAAAAACCCAUUUUCAUAAAAUCAUCCACCCAUGACCCAAACCUUAUUGGUGACCCAAAAUCCAAUACCACCGUCGUCGGACUUAGGAGUUCGCUCUAUCUUCUUCUUCUACUUAGAUUUUUAGGAAAAAAAACACUUGUAUCCCAAAAAGAGAAACUAUCUACAGAUGGCUACCCAUUUGCUUUCAUACCUCCAUUCUUAACUACUAAUUCGUGUUUAUUGCUUGAUACCAUCAAUGUAUAUAUAUACUGCGAUGGUAUCAAAGAGGAAGAGACAAUGCUUUGGUGAAAACAUUACUCAGUUACUCUUUGAUACUAUUAGAGUUUAUAUCUAUUUACUGUAAAAAGUCUGCUCAAUUACUAUUUGAUACCAUUAAAGUAUAUAGAUACCAUCAGAGUUUAUAUAUACUCCGGUGGUAUCAAGGAUGAAAAAGUUAUGGUAUAGUGAAUAGAACAAGGGACCUUAAUGUAAUGAAUUACGGGACCAUUUCUUUAUCUCUUGUCCUAAAGCAAAGUUUUUAUGGGAAAUGUUUGCUAGUGUUACUGGUGUGUGGGGCCUUUCUUGCAAGUAAAGGACACUAUUUUUAAAUGAUGAAAUGUAAAUUGUACAUCCAAACUGAGAUCUUUGUUAAAUAUUAUCCCCAAUUUUAUAAUCUGAAAAAUUAGUAAAGGGAGAAACAAAGUAAAAUAUGGAGGAGAAAUCUCUAAUUUCAGCAUGAUAUCAGAAAUCAAUAGAAAUAUUCAUAAUCUCGACGUGAUUAAAUACCCUUGGUUGAGGUAUAUUCCUAAAGAUUGGCCAAUGAGAGUUAAAUUCUUUGAGAGCUACAUAUAUUUUAAAGUCAUCCACCCAUGACCCAAUUAUGACCCAAACCUUAUUGGUGAUCCAAAAUCCAAUACCUCUGUCGUCAGACUCAAGAGUGCGCUCUAUCUUUUUCUUCUACUUAGAUUUUUGGGAAAAGAACACUUGUAUCCCAAAAGAGAAACUAUCUACAAGUGGCUACCCAUUUACUUUCAUACCCCCAUUCUUAACUACUAAUUCGUGUUUAUUGCUUGAUACCAUCAAUGUAUAUAAAUACUGUGAUGGUAUCAAAGAGUAAGAGACAAUGCUUUGGUGAAAACAUUACUCAGUUAUUCUUUGAUACCAUUAGAGUAUAUAUCUAUUUACUCUGAUGACAUCAAGGAGGAAGAGACAAUGUUUCAGUAAAAAGUCUGUUCAAUUACUAUUUGAUACCAUCAGAGUAUAUAUAUACACCGAUGGUAUCAAGGAUGAAAAAGUAGUGGUAUAGUGAAUAGAGCAAGGGGGCAGUCGCGUAAAUAGUUUGGGCCGUGAAUCCAAUCAGGAUAAAUAAUUUGGGUUGAGUCUAAUUUGGGUAAAUACUUUACUUAAUGGGUCUAAUUUGUGUAGUUUUCCCUAGAUUUUCCUAUUGUUAUCUUAUUUUCCUUUUAACUGUAUUCCUAAUUACUGAAAAUUAGAAGAGACAUUACAUUAAUUAAACAAGAUUACAACUAAUUAAUUAAAGGGUAGUUCUAAACCCCUGCAAACUCUCUUAUUCGACAAUUUUCACAUGUUCUCCGUUGCCAGUGAAAAAUUAAGGUCGAACUCAAUGCGCUUAUCAUUACCCAUAAAAUCGAUCACUGAGGAAGAAUCUGACACUUCGAUGCCGGGAACAACACAACCAUCUUCGUUGAUGAACACCGUUAUCUCCUUAUGAUAAUUUAUUUCUUGAUGAUUAAUUUUAUAUUGUUGAAAAGAAUUUCCAAAAAACACAACCAAUUCAAUGGAAGAACACCUCAGUAAUCGGAGAAAUUAAGAUGAAAUUAAGGACUUUGAAACAAAAAGUUACCUACACAAUUGGUAAGCAUAUCAACGGAGGAGGAUGAGCUGCUGAUGCUUAGAUCAAAGGGCGACGGGGAUUCAACUGUGAGCACCACAUUCAAUGAUUCAAUAAUGCCAUUCUUUCUAACUUGGAGGUCAAUUCACCGACAACAACGAAAUCAAUAAAUUUGUCUUUGUUUUUCUCCUCAAAACUUAAUUGGAGUAGGUAAAUAGGUUGGUGGAGAAAGUGAAGAUGAAUUUUUUGAUUUCGGUGCCGCCGGUGAAUUAGCCUCUAAGUCAGAAUAGUACUGUUGAGUCAUCAAAUGCGGUGCUGGCGGUUGAAGAACCGUCGCCUUUUGAUCUAAGCCUCGAAAUCAUCAACAACUCAUCCUCCUCCAUUGGUAUGCUUACCAACGGUGUAGGUAAUUUUUUAUUACAAAGUUCUUAAUUUCAUCUUUCUCCGAUUGCUAGAGGUGUUCUACUGUUGAAUCAAUUUUCUUUUUUGGAUUGUUUUCAAUGAUAUGAAAUGAAUCAUCGCGAAACAAAUUAUCGUAAGGAGAUGACAAUAUGCAUCGACGGAAAUAGUGUUGUUGUUUCAAGCACCGACGAGUCGGAUUUUUCCUCAGUGAUCGAUUUUAUAGAUAAUGAUGAUUAUAUUGAGUUCGACCUUAAAUUUCCACCGGCAUCGGAGAACAUGUGAAAGUUGUCGAAUUUGAGAGUUUGCAUGGAUUUGAAACUGUCAUUUAAUUAAUUAAUUAUAAAUUUAUUUAAUUAAUGUAAUUUCUUCAGUAAUUAAGAAUAGUGUUUAAAAAAUAAGAUAACAGUAGAAAAAGAAGAUAGAGUAGACUUCUAGGGUCUAACAUUGGCGGUAUUGGUAUAAUUAUUUUAGGUCACUAAGAAAUAGGGUUUGAGUUAUAAUUGGGUCAUGGGUGGGUAAUGUUAUGGAAGAUGAGUGAGUUUUUAAAUUUUGAUAAGAAAAUAAAUUAAAAUUUUAGUAAAUUAUUGAGAUGAAAUCACGUGUCCAACCAUUAUUUCAAUAGUAAAAAAUUAAAUAAAAAUUUGAGUAAAUUGUUCAUACAAAUCUGAACUUAAUCCCUCAAAGAGAUAAUAUGACUUCUUUUUCAGAUUUAAGGUCAAUCAGUCUUAAUAAUUUUCUAAAUAAGGUCAUUUCAGGAUUUAUCCAUGAUAGGCUAGAGGUAUUGAUAUCAAAUCAUAUCUCUGCUAAUCAAUUUGAAUUUGUCAAAGAUAGGAACAUUAUAGAGAAUAUCGUACCUGCAUAGAAAAUUAUAAUAGAUACAUUAGAAAGAGAAGUAAGAUUGCUAAUAUAGUCUUUAAACUAGAUAUGAGAGGAACAUAUGAUAGAGUGAUCAACUGAAGAUUUUUUAUGAAAAUUCUUAACAAAAUGGACUUUAAUAAUGUAUUUUUCUUAAAACAUUUGGAGACUAGUUGCUAAUAAUUGGUACUCUAUGUUGAUUAAUGUUGAAUUUCUGCUUUCUUUACUCUACUAAAGAGGUCAAGUAAGGGGAUCCCUUAUCCUCUUCAUUAUUCAUUCUAUCUGAUGAUAGGUUUUUUUCAAGGGCUCUGAAUAACAUAUACUCUUGUCCAUAUUAUAGGAGAUUUUGUCUACCUAAGUGGAGUGAAAAUAUUACUCACUUGGUCAAUGUUGAUGACACUACGAUUUUUUAUAAUGCUGACAGAUUCUCUAUAAAGUCUUUGAUGAAAAUUUUAUAGGUCUAUGAAAGACAAUCAGGGUACAAGAUUAACAAAGACAAAGUUGCCUUUUUUGUUGUUGCGUAAUAUGACUUCUUAAAGAGAUAUUCAACUGGUAUAAGAAUUCUCAGGUUUUCCUAGAUGAAAAACGUGCGUAAUAAAUUACAAGCUUAGAAAGAAAAUUAUUAUCUUUAGAAGGAAAAGUUGUUCUCAUCAACAAUGUUCUACAGAGUAUCCCUAUAUAUUAACUAGGAUAAAUUAGUUAACUAGUCAAAAUCUCUAACAUGAUUAUUAAAAAUGUCAAAAUGUCAAUAUUUUAGCAAAGAAAGUGUAUCCGAAUAUACUUCAUUUACCUUCCUUUUAUUUCUCAAAUUUGCCCCAUUUUUUUAAUUCAUUACAUGUGAAAGUUAAAAACAAAGACCCCACCACCCACUUUUCUCUCUCUAAAUUUUUUACUCAAAUUCUAUCCUUUCUCUUUUUCUCUCUCUCACAAUUUCUUCCAUUAUUCCAUAUCUUCAAGUAACUUAAAUCUUGCCUUUUCUAAAUUAAAUUCCUCCAUUUUUUUCUAAUAAAUCUCAGAAAUCAUUCAAAAGAUUUUCAACCAUUGUCAAAGUGAAUUUGACUGAUGUGCGAUUGUUUCCAUUAUGGAAGAAAUUUUGAAAUAAUUGAUUGAGAUUUCGAAGUGAAUUGGAUUGAUUUUGUUGAACUUCGAGAUUGUCGAUGAAAUACAAAAACGAUCAAGGUAUUCAUUAACUGUUGGUUCUUUAAUUUGUUUAGAAGUGAUUCGAAAAUGACUAUUGAAAAAGUGAUUCGAAUUUGGAUCUGGAUCGUAUUUUGUAUGUUGGAUCUGAAGAUCUUCAUAAGUUACUAUCUGAAUAUUGGAUUUAAAGGUUAGACAGUCACUGAGGUAUUCAAUUUGGGAGUUUCGGAUCAAUAUCUCAUCUAAGACACUUUGUUGGACGGCAUCAACAAUUCUAGUUAUCUUUUCAAGGAAUUGAUGUAUUUUUGCAUCUUUCUCACAUGCAGAAGGACCCAAAGGAAAUGCAAGUACAGAAUCAUCAGCCAUAUUUCAAAGUUAAAAAAUACAUUUUUUAAUCUGUAAUCCGUUUGGGAUACAAACAUUGAAUUGUUUUGACUUUUUUUGUAUGUUGGAUGCUUGGAAUACAAAAUAAUUUGGAAUCUAAUUUAGUAGAUGUUCUAUAAAUUAAACUUUAAAUACAAUAUAUUUUUGGAAUACAUAACAGAUAAGAAAUACUUUUUUUAAAAAUACAAAUUUUGAUUGUUACUUUGAUUGUAAAUUUGUAUGUUUUGAUGACUGAAAUACAAAUUUUGUUGGAAUUUUAAGAAAGAAUAUACAUUUUUGCAAAAUAUACAAAUCAAUGUUGUAUCUUUUCUGAAUGAACACAAGUAUACAUAAGUAUAUGGAUACAAAUAUGUUUCUUAAUAACUACAAAUAAAUUUGGUAUACCUAUUGGAAUGAAUACAAACUAAUAAAGAAAUACAAAUGUCAUUAUACAAAUCCAAACAUGAAAGCCACAAUGAAUACAAAUACACAUAUCAUAAUUCAUACAUAUUGGAAUGAAUACAAUCAAUUACUUUUGAAAUUGUAACUGAUGAGAAUUUUAAGUGAUAUGUUUCUUUUAAAAUAAAAUAUUAUAUCCAUGAUUUUCUCCUUUCUGUUAUUAAAUAAUUGUAUUCUUUCAAAUCAAACAAACAAUUUUUUUUUACAUAAAUCAGAAGAAUAAAAAACUAGAAUAUUGACAUUUUUAAUAAAUAUUGAAAAUAUUGAUAAGAGGUUCCAUUAAAUGCUAAAAUAUUGACAUUUUAAAAAAUUUCCCUAUUAACUAUCUGCAAUGAUUCCACUAAAUGUGUGAUUCAUGAUCUACACAAAAUGUUUGUUAGAUUUCUGUAGAUCUUCAAGGAAGGGGGCAGAAACAAGCACUAGAUUACUUGGGCUAAAAUUUGUCAAUCUAGGAUGAAAGGAGGAAAAAUCUCUAAUUUUAGCAUGAUAUCAGAAAUCAAUAGAAAUAUUCAUAAUCUUGACGCGGUUAGAUACCGUUGGUUGAUGCAUAUUCCUAAAGAUUGGCCUAUGAGAGUUAAAUUUUUUGUGAGCUACAUAUAUUUUAAAAUCAUCCACCCAUGACUCAAUUGCCACGCCCCGAGCCUACACCUUAGGCGGGACUGGCACUCGAGAACCAUUGUUGGCAUCAAGCGAACCCUUGGCCUGGCUUACCUACUCAACGGAAGACUUAAUUCAACAAAGACAAGUUUAUGUAAUAAACUGGAAUGUUAUAAUGGAACAUUCAACUUGGCCAUUAAGGCAAAACUCAAGUCUUAACAUAAGAUAAUGACAAUGAAAAAGACUAAAGAACUAAUAUCUGACUGUCUAUGAAGCCUCUAAAACAACUGAGAUGGAUGUCGGGGACAAAACCCACGACAUCCUAAUGAACUAAUAAAAUAACUGAAAGCAAUAAAAAGGAGUCCUCCAGAAUGUAAGAAGGCUCACCAACUGACUUUGGAGUGCUCACUGGAUCAAUGAUGUGCUGAAUGUCGAUCCUAGUUACCUGUGUCUGCAUCAUAAUAAGAUGCAGGCCAACUGGCAUCAGUACAUUGAAUGUACGAGUAUGCGAGUUGAAAUUCUAAACACAACAUAGGCUUGAAAGGAAUCUAAAGAACUUACUUGGCUCAACUCAACUCAACAUAACUGAACUCAUUUCAAUAUAAAACAGUUUAAAACAAGUGCAAUAUAAAAAAAAGUUGUUUAAAAUAUGAUGUCAACUCUGUGUGUAUGCAAAGAUACAUAUAACUCUGAGAUGUAUGUAAAAAUACAAAUAAACGGUGUAUUUGAGAAUACAAUUACUUCUGUGGGAGUUUCUCUAACCGACAACCUUCACGUAAGAGCUACUGUGAUGAUACAACGUUUUGCCUCACGCUGCCAGAGCCGUCCUAUACCUUGCCGAGGGUAUAGAACUUGAACUACUAAGUGGAUCCACUAGUCUAUGCUAAAAAACACUAAAGGAAUCAUCUAAAAAGUAUGACCCUUUUCUACCCAUGAUGACUACAUGGUUUAUGAGAGCUGUGAGUUGUCUGAACUCUCCCCCAUAUCGAUGCUCAAUACAUACUCCCAAAAAUAUGAUAUUAGCUCUUAUGUUUAAAACAUACUUCUUUCUGUGAUUUGAGAUUAGUGCUCAAAAACUUACUCAAAGGAUAUCUUGGAAAUCAAAAUUUCCUCUUUUGCUUCUUUUAGAAAACGAUUCCUCUUUUCUGAAAACUAGCCCGAAGGCUCUUUGGAAAUCGAGGUUUCCUUUCUUUUUUAAAUGUGAAAACAUUUUAAACCCUUUGGGAAUACAUAGUCCCCAUAUAUUUUUGAAGAAAUUAACUUCAAACUUUACUCUUUGAUCGUUACUCAACUUGAACUUUAAGUCUUAAAACAAAGUUAAAACAUUUGGAAAACUCUAAGAACUUCUCUCGACUUGACUCUUACUUCUCUUGAAUUUGAUCUUAACUUUCCUUGAAUUGGAUUAUGGAUUCAAGGUUCAUGAUCUCAUAUUUAUGGAUGAUUUCAUGAUGUUUAGAUGUACCUUAGAGUGUUGGAAUCAACUAGAAAACAUAGGUACAUUGCUAAGGAACAAGUACUAAAAGGUGGGAAAGAAAUGGGAAAGGCUGCGUCCCUGGCGAUCUGAGAGGCGCGGGGCGCCAAAGGGAAAAGUUCAGAGAUUGCCCUAGGGAGCGCUGGCUGGCGCAACGCCUCACCCCUAUCCUAGGUGUUUGGAGACUUUUCUUGCUCGUUUUUCAUCUCUAAACCCUCUAAAUUUCAAUGGUUCUUUCUCCAAACACUUAGAAUCAUCUGUACCCUCAAUAUACAUCAUAUUCUACUCGAAAAACACAACUAACAACAUGAAUCAAUCUGAAGAAAACUCCAACAACACAACCCACAAGAAUUCAAACAAAUUUCAUCAAGAACUCAAGGAUUUACUUUCAAAUCUAAUUCUUUUUAAAAAUAAAUAAAAAUAAAUCAUAUUUAUGUAUGCUAUGUUGAAAUUUGUGAUAAGAGUAUUAUGUUAAAUUUUUUGUUUUGAAAUUAUAACUUAUGUUAUAUUUUCAGUUUUAUUUGUUUUAGUAAUAUUGAAUUCAAAUUGCAAGUCAUUUUUUAGUUAGACUUGAUAGAUUAUCUUUUUGUCAAACAUUUUAAUAAUUUAUGACAUUUUAUUUAUAUAUUAAUCUUUUUAUCAAACUUGCAUUUCACGAUGUUCGUAGAAACUUUAUACUUUUAGUUUUUAUGAUAAAUUCAAUUGAAAUAUAUUAAUUUGAAAAAAUAUAAAUCAAUUAUNNNNNNNNNNNNNNNNNNNNNNNNNNNNNNNNNNNNNNNNNNNNNAAUUAAUUAAUAUAUUUUCAAAAAAUAAUAUAUAUCUUAAAUAUUUAAUAUCAUUUAUAUAGUUUCUUAAAUUUUAGUGUAAAUUUUAAAUAAUUAAUUUUUAUUUUUUAAAAUUUAAUAUAAUAUUAUGAUUGCAAUUGUGCAUCCAAACAGAACAUGUGUAAUUACACUGUGGCAUCCAAAUAGGACAUGUGUAAUUACAGUGUAGUUACACUGUGGCAACCAAACAGGUUAGUGUAAUUGUUGGAUUGUGUAAUUACUAGGCUGGUAAUUACUACCCUAGUAAUUACACCAAGUCCAAUUACCAGGUGAUUUGCAAACAGACCCUAAUUUUGCUCCAAAUCAUUUAAAUUUCAGUCUAUUCUGUUCUAUUUCCUUUCAAUUCUAGUUUAUUCAUUUCAAUUCUACUCACUCCAAUUCAAAUUCUCAGUUACACUGUGGCAACCAAACAGGUUAGUGUAAUUGUUGGAUUGUGUAAUUACUAGGCUGGUAAUUACUACCCUAGUAAUUACACCAAUUUCAAUUAUCAGGUGGCUUUCCAAACAGACCCUAAGUAAAUAAUUAAAAUUUUCUUUCAAGUUUGUCACCUUUACUUUACCUCAAAUUAAGGGUUAUGAACUUGAAAGACAUGUGCAAUGAAAGAUUAAUAAAAGUAUGAGUUAUGAAGAGGAUAAUAAGUGAGUUAAAGACAUAAAAUUAUAANNNNNNNNNNNNNNNNNNNNNNNNNNNNNNNNNNNNNNNNNNNNNNNNNNNNNNNNNNNNNNNNNNNNNNNNNNNNNNNNCAUUCAUUCAAAACAAAAUCCAAAAGAGUUGUUAGGUCGUGCACCAAAACCUGUUUUGCUAAAUAUGGGGCGCGACACCACUGAAUGCAAAGUGUCCUCUUAGGGUAAUUAUUCCCCUCUAAUGCCUGAGGUUUAAAGGAAUAGAUCAUCUUGGGAUAGAACGAUUCUGUUCACCAAUUUAUUGAUCCAAAAACAAUGGUGUCAGUGAGCCACUCAAUAGGAGAAAAGUACACGAAUAUUUAAUUGUGUAGAAGAAAAAGAAAUUUAGAAUCUUCGUUGUUUUAAAAUAAGAGGAAAUUCCUCUAUUUAUUGACAACAAAGGAUAGUGUGAACAAAUGCUUAUUGUGCCUUAUCGGAAAGGUGACAAACUUUUAUAAAAUUCACAAUUUUUCAUAAAAGUCGCAACUCUUCAUAAAAUUUGCAACUUUUCAUGAAAGUCACAACUCUUCAUAUUUCAUUCACACCUUUUUAAAAUCCAACAAUGUGUACUUCAUAUAUCAAUUCAAAGCUCUAAUAAAUGGCAUUGACCUUCAAUCUACAUUGUACCACCCCUACACAAAAAAAAAAUGAUUAACUCAAAUCAGCAAAGGUAUAAAGUAAGAUUAUUGAGAAACAGUAGACUAAUGCAUGCAACAAUGUAUACAUAGGAUUAACGGAGAAGUAGUCACAAUUCCAAAAUUAAAUAGAAAAUUCUCAAGGUAUAACUGUUAUAUAUGCAUCUAAGUCAGCUAACUCACAUAGUUUGGCCCAAUAUUUCAUUUUAGUACUAAAUGGUUAAACUUAAGUUUGGUCUAGUAUUCCAAUCUGACGAUCAGUUUCUUAAGUAAAUUCAAAGGGGGGCUAAUAUUUAUACAUAUGGAAUAUUUGAGGGAGCUUAAUUUGUAAGAUGGUGGUGACGGUUGUGAAAGUUUCUGAGAGGAGGGAGAAGCUAGUUUUGGAAAUAAAUAAAAUAAAAAGGAAUCCUGAUUUGUGGUGGCGCCACGUAGGCGGGCCUAAGGCUCUUUUAUAUAUAUAUGAUUGAUUAAGAAGAUAUAUAUUUGAUCUUCAUUCUUUUCAUCGUUAUUUUUUAAUGCAAAUGUAAGUUUUAUAUAUAAACACAUUAUUCAAUGUAAACGAUCUAUCAUAUUUAGAACAUAAGGGAUAAAUUGUAAAUAUGGAACUCACGUUCUCAGAGACUUGUCAAUCUAUUUAGGUGCACUGAAGGAAACCGUUUUGCAGCCUUAUUACAAAGAACCCUUGUACCCCAAAAAGGAAAAUUAUUUACAAGUGGCUAUUUCUUUAAUUUCAUACCCCUUUUGUUUCUAACUACUAAUUUGUGUUUACUAUUUGAUUCCAUCAAAAUAUACUCUGAUGGGAUCAAAGAAGAAGAAGCAAUGCUUCUGUGAAAACACUACUCAGUUACUCAUCUAUACCAUUAGAGUAUAUAUAUACCCUAAUGACAUCAAGGAGGAAGAAGCAUUAUUUCAGUGAAAAGAAUGUUCAAUUAAUGCUUGAUACUAUCAGAGUAUAUAGAUAUCAUCAGAGUAUAUAUAUAUUUCGAUGGUAUCAGUAGUGGUUCAAUGAAUAUAACAAGGGGGCAGUCAGGUAAAUAGUUUGGGUUGUCUCCACUUAGAGUAAAUAUAUUGAGUUGAGUCCAACUUAUGUAAAUACUUUGCCUAAUGGGUUCAAUUUGUGUAGUUUUCCCUUACAAAAUGACACAACAGACAUCUACAUGAGAUGUUUAAAACGAACAAAGCUUAGUUAAGAAAUCUAAGUAAAAAUUGGUGCCAACUUUAAGUGACCACCCAUAAGUUUGGCCCUUCUAAAAUUUAUCCACUCGAUGGUUAUACCAAUAUUGUUUGUCUUGAAGUUAUGUGUUUAGGAGAGGAUCUUUCAUUUAUUUAUUUCCUCACAUACAUAAAUCAUAUAUAAGUUUCUUCACUAGUAUAUUUGUUUUAUACAUUUGAUUUUUGAUAUGCUUUACUUCAAUCGAAGGUCAAUAGGAAUAAGAAUGCAUAUACAUCAUGCUCAUCAAAUUCAUUUGUAAAAAUUAUACUAAGUAUAUAUGUUAUUGUACUCUAUUCAUACAUAGCCUCAGACUCUUGAUGCUUCACUUUUUUUCCUUUUUUUAAAAAAUGAUUUUGGUUUGGAUCAAGUGGAUGUCAUUUGUUUUUCAAAAAGAAAAAACUUACUAUAAAUCGCUGGAAAUCCAAUGAGAACAUCAUAGCAUAUCAUACCAUAUAUAUAUAUAUAUAUAAAGGAGAACCCUAGGUCCGCCUACGUGGCGUCACCAGAAGCCAAGAUUCUCUUUAAAUUUAUUUUAUUUUCAAAACUAGCUUUCCCCUUUCAUGAAAAGUUGUGACUUUUAUGAAAACUUGUGACUUUAAUGAAAAGCUGUGACUUUUAUGAAGAGUUGCCCAUUUCAUGGAGAGUUGUGACUUUUAUGAAAAGUUGUGACUUUUAUGAAGAGUUGCAACUUUUAUGAAAGGUUGUGACGUUUAUGAAAGGUUGUGACCUUUCCGAAGGGUUGUGACUUUUCCAAAAAGUUGUGACCUUUCUGAUAAGGCACAAUAAGCAUUUGUUCAUACUACCCUUUGUUGUCUAUAAAUAAAGGGAUUUCCUCUCAUUUUAAACAACGAAAAUUCUCUACUUCUUCUUCUACACAGUAAAAUACUUGUGUACUUUGCUCUUGUUGAGUGGCUAACUGACAUCACUAUUUUUGUAUCAAUACGCUGGUGAAUAAAAUCGUUACAUCCUGAGAGGAUCUAUUUCUGUAAAUCUUGGGUACUAGAGGGGAAUAAUUUUUUAAGGGAACAUUGUGCAUUUAGUGUACUCGAUUUUUCCUUUCUGUUUCAUUCUAUUGUUACAGAUCCUGGUAUGUUCUUUUAAAGUCAUUAAUUUAUGCUUAUGUUAUUAAUUAUUGUUUUUAUUACAUGUUUAAACUUUGUUGUUUAUGUUUCUGCAAAGUUAUUAUCUCCAGUUAUAAUGAACAUAUACACUCAGUUUCAAAAAUUCAUGUUUUGAUAUUCUAUAUAAAAUUCUAUUGCUUAAAAGUACUAUAUAUAAGCUUACAUAUUCUCUAUUUUUACAUAGAUAAGAAGUUUCUUACGUAUCAAUUGAAGAAAUUCAUUAUGCAAGUUCAAAAAGUUAUAAUUGCUUUCAUGUUCAAGCGUAAUUUUUUUAAAACAUUUUUUUAAAUAUUUUCAUGGGACAUAGAUCACAAUUGUAUAAACUAUGCAAGUUAAAUGUGUUCUUUUUCUUACGAAACGCCUUCGUAUUUAUUUUUAUUUUCUUCUUUAUUUUCCUUUUAAUGUUGAUAAAAGAACCAAUGAUUUAUUAUUUCCUGAAUAAUUCAAUUUCUGAAUAAUUUGUUCAUUAGAGUUCUUGACUUAUGUAAUAAUGACAAACAAUCAGAUUCAUGUUGAAAUAAUGCUAAUAUUUAUUUAAGAAUCUAUUUUUCCAUUAUUUUAAUGUAUGGAUAUUAGUAAAAGAUUAUUUGUAAGUUCAAUGCAAUUAUUCUUCCCGCGGGCAAAUUAUCUAGUAUAUAUAUAAAAGAGAAUCUUAGGCUCGCCUACGUGGCGCCACAAACCAUAAUUCAUUUUUAAUUUACUAGCCUUAUCCUUUCAUGAAAAGUUGUGACAUUUAUGAAAAGUUUCGACUUUUAUGAAAAGUUGCGACUUUUAUGAAAAAUUGUGACUUUUAUGAAGAGUUCCAACUUUAAUGAAAAAUUGUGACUUUUAUGAAAAGUUGUGACAUUUCCGAAGGGUUGCAACUUUUCCAAAUAUUUGUAACCGUUUCGAUAAGGCACAAUAAAUAUUUGUUCACAUUAUCCUUUGUUGUCUAUAAAUAGAGGAAUUUCCUCUCAUUUUAAAACAACGAAAAUUUUCCAAAUAUUUGUAACCGUUUCGAUAAGGCACAAUAAAUAUUUGUUCACAUUAUCCUUUGUUGUCUAUAAAUAGAGGAAUUUCCUCUUAUUUUAAAACAACGAAAAUUUUGAACCUCUUCACAAUUAAAUAUUUGUGUACUUUGCUCCUGUUGAAUGGCUCACUGACACCAUCGCUUAUGUUACAGAUUCUGGUAUGUAUUUUUACAAUGAUUUAUUUAUGCCUAUGUUAUUAAGAAUAAAUGAUAAGAUGUAAUAAUUUUAAUUUUCCUUUACCUUGUUAAUGUUUGUUACUAUGUAAUCUUGUAUGUAAGACAAUAUAAUGUUUUAGUUUUAAUGAUUGAUAGGAUUUAAGUAUUAUUUUGUAAAUUAUGUGAUAUUAAAUUCCCGCGCGAAGCACGAAUAAUUUUACUAGUUUUCAAAAAAGAUAAAAUAAAAGAUCCCAGCAAGAAACUUGAAAGAAAAAAACAAUCGUUCAGCCAAGAGCGAGAGAAAAAAAAUAUAAUAUACACAAAAAAGCUCACAAGUGAGCGAGUUAUGAAAAUAAAAUAGACGGCAUUUACCGUCGGUUAACUCAAAAGGCAUCUAGCGAUAUGUUUGUUUUCGGUUAAUUCAAAAAUUAAGUUAGCCCUUUUUGCAUUUUUUGGGAAAAAAAUUUGACCAUUUUGACUCCAGAUUCCACCAAAACAGUUGCUCCAUUAAACAAAAUUAAAUAUGAUAGGUGAAAUAAAAUUCCUUACACAAAACUCACCUGAACCCUUCCCCUAUCAAGAUACAAAUCUUAAAAUUAAUAACGAAAACUGUUAAAUUUCCUAAAUCUUAAUAUUACUCUCUUCACAAAAAAUUUCUAAAACUUGCAAACUAUUCUACUUGAGGAUCAAAGUAAAUAACUUUCGAAGAGUUGGCAACGCAACUAAUGUACACAUCACAUCUUAGCCUUUUUGAAGUCAUUUUUAACAUAUGGUUUUGAAAUUUCCACAUCAAAUUUUACUCGCAAGAAAAAUAGAAUGGAAAAGAUGUGAUUGGCGGAAUAACUGCGACAUUUUCAUUUUGAAAAUCCCCCAUAUUUCAUAUAGCAAUAUAAACCUCGCAAAAAGUGAAAAUAUCACUCAAUAAUGAAACAAAGCAUGAGGAACAUCUACUAAGAAAUAAAAAUUCACCUCCGAUAUGUAUCACAAAUUUAACCCUAAUAACAUUAUUAUUUUCAUUAAAGUAUGACCAACUCAAUAGCCGGAGGCACUUCACAUUCAAGCUGGAGCUUAGCAAGAUUUCUCGAAGCUUGCGUGUGUUUGAUUUCGCUAGGGCACGGAGGGAUACGAUAAAAAAAUGGAGUACCUGGAUCAAUAAUGAUUUUCUCAAGAGCAACACCAUUUUCCAAAAAGUACCUAACGAGUUCAAGUUGAAAUAAGCCUGUAUAAAACCCCGAAAAUUUGACCACUUUGAGGUGAUGGAGUGGGCAUUUUAUGGCUGCUUUCUUACACUCUUUCUUUGCCUCGAAGGGGAUUGACAUCACCUGCCGUAAAUAUAUACAACACAAAUUAAAAUUAAAAUAAAAAAUAAUGAUAAGAUAAGUCAGUAAAGCUAAUAAAAGAAAAUUUUGAACAGGCCUUUUUCUUGGGACACAAGUUAAAUGAAAAGAAUUAAACUUUGGGGAAUCAGUAUAACAUAAAACUAUGUACCAAUCACUGAUGAACCAUGAUUGUAUCAAUCGCUCAUGUCAUUUGACUUCUCCUACUACUUUGUUCUUCUACAAAUUCCCUAAAGUAUUUACCACACGGAGGAAGGAAAGUGGGGAAUAUGGACAAGAAUAUUACAGACGUGGAGUGCUCAAUUUUCUGAGAGAAUUGCAACUUCUUUCAACAUGUUUGGGUCGACUUAUUUUAGACUAAGUUGCUCGAAAUCGGUUGUGGAUCUAAAUUUUAAGAUUCGGGAUAUAUGGCUUCCUUGAUCGACUGAAUGAAAACUUCCCAUUAUCAUGUAAGAUGCCUCCUAGUCAAGUUGACUAAUUCAACAAUAUUCAAUCACCACUACUCAUUAUCCAUGUUCUAGACUCUCUCUGAGAAAAAUCUUAACUUGGAGAAAUUAGGAAACAAAAGAAUACAUAAGUGACUUAUCAUAUAAACAUAUUCGAGCUGCAUGCCGGACUUGCUAACCGAAAUGAACCUUCUCCAACAUUUCUUUUCAAGAACCAAAAGAUUUGUGCCAAAAAGAACAAAAGUUCUAGGAAACCUAAUCAGAAGGUCUAGAAGAUUCUCAACCUAACCAGUUGUACAAGGUCUAGAAGAUUCUCAACCUAGGCACAAGGAAGGCACAUGAAGAGCAAAAUGGCUGUUAGAGUUUGUUACAAAGUAGUCCAAUAAUUAGGUGCCAAGUGUACAAAUAAUCAUUGUUUAAUUCAUUUAUUUUGGUACAGAAUUUAGACCUAGUUUUGUAUAAAUACAAUAGCAUGUACAGUAAACUUAUGAGGUGGAAUACACAGAAAUUUGUGUAUACAAUUUCUUUGGAAUGUGAUAUUCAAGUUUUCAAAGCAUAUGAUGAUAACCAAUCAUACACCCAUUCCAGCAGAGUGCAGACUUGGGAAUAGGCGAAUCUUAAUGCAAAUUCGAGAAAAUGAAAAAAGCUAUAGAGGGAUCCAUUGAUUUAGCGGAACAGCAAUAGCAAUCUUAUGAUAGUGUUGGCAAUCUGAUUAUGGUUAAUAGAAAGGAAACUGAACUUAAAAGGCAGACUUUGAGUUCAAACAACAAUGCAUGUCGAAAAAUUAUACAUAAUCAGAUUGCUGGAUUGGUAAGUAUGAUCAGAAAAGGGUGAACGGAUAUAGAAAAACGAAAAGCCUAAAAGAAGCACUUGGUAGAACUGGAACAAAUAACCAAUGCUAAAAAACAUCCUGGAAACAACAAUUGAGGUGUUUCUGGUUAGAUGAAUGAGACAAGAUACUAGAGGUGUCAAAUGGGCGGGUUGGUUGAAAUUGGAGAUAUUAAAAUGGGUUGAAAUAGAAAUUGGGUUGAGUCUUGACCCGCCCAAGUUUACUUUGGGCUCAAAUGGGUUGGGCUCAAAUGAGCUUAAAAAUGGUUGGGUCUUUACCCGCUUAAUCUCAAUAGUUUUAAUAUAUUGUUUAUUUAAGUUUUAUAACCACAUUUUAGAUUUCAACUUAAGAAAAUUACAAAAAAAGUUACAAAUGGAUAGAUAAAUCCUAAAAAAUAUAAAACAAAAGUAAUUCAUACCUUCAAUAUAAGAACAUACAUUACAUCAAUACAAAUAAAGAGUCUUAAAAUGGGUUGAAAAUUGAAAAUUAAAUUGGGCUCAAUUGAGGAUUCUCUUAAAAUGGGGGUUGAGAUUAAACCUAAUUCAAAUUAUCUUAAGCCCAACCCUUAAAAUUAUGGGCGGGUUGGGCGGGUUACCUAUAGGUGGGCUCAUUUUUGACACCCCUACAAAAUACUAAGUGUUUUACUGUAAAUUGAUCAAUACAAAUAAAAAGUACAGCCAUAUAAACUAACUUGUAAGAGAUGGACGAACUACCAAAUCCAAAGGUCAUCAGAUGAGUGUAAUGCUAUGAGAAGUUAUUUAGUAAAACCGAGCAAUGAUGGCGCCUUCCAGUUACAAUGACCUUGAGCUAUUAUCACGGGAAGAGUGUUGGCUACUAAGAAAUUUUCUCGGAGAAGUAAUGGAGAUGGUCUAGUGGUGAUAACAACUUUAGGGCCAGAUGGGCAGAUAAUGUCUUCUUACCAGAAAUCUAGGAACUUUUUGGAAAGGGACAUUAUCAGUGCAUUGCACUUCUUUCAUGAGACAGAAAUUUUUACAAGAGGCUGGACUGCAAUAUUCACAGCAUUGGUUCUUAAGAACAAGGUAAAAGGAUGAGAUUACUACCGGUGGGGUCCUAACAACAAGGAUGAAACAAGUAUUGGCAAGUAGAUAUCAAGGUCAAAAAAUGCAUGUAUUUGUAAAGGGAAGGACAAACUAUAGAUCCAGUGUUAUUAGAAAAUGAAUUCUUGGAGCCUUAAAUAGAAUUAAAGUAGCAAGAAUUAUUUGUUAGCUGGACUUGAGAAAGGUGUACUAGACUUAUUCAGAUCGAUGGAUCUCGUCUCCUUAGCAUCAAAGCCAAGACUCCGUCCAAAUCUAUCACUCCUUGAGCGAAGCCUUCUUUACUAUGAGAGCACCGAUGAAUGAUUCAUUCUCAAGUUAUCACCUCAGACUAGGGACAACACAGGAUCAAGCAAAGAUUUGACCCGGUGGAACAAUCAUGUAAACUGGCAAUAUUACUGAAGCUUUUGAAUCAACACGGUUUGCAAACAAAUGGAAAAAUAUAAUUAGGAUAUGCAGUUAAAUAGGAGAACCCCGUUAUCCCAUUCUCUUCCUAAGCAAUGGAAACAUUCAGUAAGAUGCUGCAUUAUGCCAUGAAUAUAGUAUGGAUAAAAGGAGUCAAAAGUUGGGGAAAGUUGUACAAAUGAAAAUAUGGAAAUUUUUCAUGUACACGAUAUGCAGACUAUACCCUAUUUCUAUUUGGACUUGAGGAGCGGAAGAUCAUGCAUCACAGAUCUCUACUAUUACACUUUGAGACAGCACUUGACUGCAUUUAAAUUGAGAAUCCAGGCAGAGACAUACAUGAGCAAGUCUCUAAUGCCAGAUAUAGAAGUGCAAUAAUAUGGCAGAGAGUGAUACAUAAGGUUGAGAAGAUUGGCAACCCGCAAGAAACUGUAUCUAUCAUUUUUUAAGGUGCGAAGACGGUUCGAUAAUGCAAGGAGAAAGAUGUGGCAAGUUGAUUCAAAGAGCAUAAAAAUAGAGCUAUAUUCUCUAAGAAGAGUAGUUCAUAGAUAAAAACUUUGGGUAUUAAAAAAAGUGUCUAUUGUCGAAUUAGUUUGUGGAGAUAAAACACAGUAGAGCAAAACAAUUUAUGGAUUAAGCUGUUAAACAUAGAGCAUGGCAACGAUAUGAGAUGUUCAAAAGCAAAACUAAUCAAUACAACUGAUGAUGUCACAGUUUGAAAGUACAUUAGAACUUAUGGAAUUGAUUCUUUUAAUCUUGUGAAAGCUUUUAGUUGCAAGAAGAAGAUAAAGUUUCAUGUACGCCGGAUCAAGAAGCUUUAAUAACUUAUUCAGAAUUACAUCUCAUAGCUAUCCAUAUAAAAGAUGUGAUUGAAGAAUACAGAGAAAGGCUAUCUUUUAAUAUUAGAUUAAGAAGGAGAUUGCAUGACUGGGAGGUUGACAGAACAACAGAAUCUUCUACUUGUAAAGGUUGGAGCCCUCUUGGUGCUUUUUUAAAUAACAAAGUGGGAAAAGGCAUAAAAACCCUAUGGACUUAUCUCAGUUUUCCAGUUACACACUUAUUCUUUGUGAUGUCCCUACGACCCCUAUACUAUUUUGUAGUGCAAAAAGUACCACCGUAAGUACUGACAUGGAAAAAAUAAACAAUGAUGGUGGCUCUGUUUUCUUGCGCCUUGUAAGGCGCAUAGGGAGUUGCGCCUUGUAAGGCGCUACCCUAAUUUAAACAGCAUCUCCUCUACCGUUUAAAUGUUGCCCUUUUGAUUUCAAACCCUUUUGGAAUUUUUGGUCAAUUUUUUUGCCCUUCUGGCUCCGUACUCGUGUUUUUCCUUUCAAGUUUUUUUGUGGUUGAGAUUAUCAAUAGUUUUUUUUAUAAUGUUUCGCGGUAAUUCUUUUAUUUUAAUUAUUAUUUUAUUACUUUUAUUGUGAUAUGUAUUGUUUUUUAUUUAAUUUAACUAGUAACUAAAAUUAUUUUAUUGACUUCUCUAUGUCUAUAGUGAUUUAUAUGAUUGUUUUUUAUAGUUAUAAAAUGCUAAUAUGAUUUAAUUGCUUUGGAACUUAUGUUUUCUACUUCCAUUAGGAAAGUAAAUUUCCUCAUUUUUAAGGAGCUUGUUUUCCUAGAAAAAAUAUUUCACAAAAUAUAUUGACAAACCAAUCAUGAAAAUAGAUAAACAUUUUUCUCCAUACAAAACACACCCUAGAUAAUUUUUUUUACUUUUAUUGCUUGAUUUUUAUUGAAAAUAUUAUGCACACAACUUUAGCCAAGUGCGUGCACCCACUCAUGAGUAGGAAAAACAUAAUUUGUGUAUCUACUCAACUACAAAAAAAAAAUCCUGGCUCAGACACGGGGGUGGGGGGCAUGGAUGGUGGCCUGGUGGGACAAGUGGUGGAUCACCGCUCGAGAUUUAGAAAAGGGCCUAAAAAGUAGAAGAAAAAUUAUAUCUUUUGGACUCUAGAGCCUCUAUCAUUUAGCUUGUAUUUGUCUUUUCAUGCACUAUAUGGAGGUGCAAAGUAAAAGCCACAUCAACACUUCCUAUGGUAUUAUUCUACUACAAAAUAAUUCAUAGAACAACUUCAAAGAAUAAGUGUAACAAGAAAUCCGAUACAAGUUCGGGUAUUUUUUCUCUUUUCCCUUAUAUAAUCGUUACUUGAUUUUUUGAAAAAAUAAAUAUUCAAGAGAGAGAACAUCAGAUACCAUGUGAAGCCCUAAGCCUCCUCUACAAUACCAUCCAGGCUCGAUUCUGACUCUUUGAGCCUGGAGUCAUUUGAUUGGGAUUCAGGAUGCCACCUUCGAAUCCUACUAUUAGAAUUUGGAAGUUCCCCUCGGUUCUAACAACAUUUUGUAAUCCCUCAUCUCUGAAACCUCUACCCCACUAAAUUCCUCCUUCACCCAUCUACCUAGCUAGGCAACAACUUACUUCUCAAUUUUCUUAGUUGGUUGUUCUCAUUUGAAACCAACCAGUAUAAUUAUGACAAGAAAGUAGGUUUAUAAAAGAUGCUCAGGGUUGGAAUUUAAGGUUCAGAAGACCUUUAAAUGAAUGGGAGGUGAAUAGAAUGGUUGAAUUUCUAAAUAUCCUGGAACGAUACAAGGAACUCAGUAAUAGUGAAGACAAACUGUUAUGGGCUCCAGAUACACAGGAGAGAUUCUCAGUUGGAACAGCUUACAGAAACUCACAGAGGACACACACUCAAUCAAGCUACUGGCCAUGGAAAAUGAUCUGGAAAGUUAAGGUGCCCUUCAAGGUGGCAUGUUUUACUUGGCUCUUAGCAAAACAGGCUGUUCUCACACAGGAUAACCGUAUGAAGAAGGGCCUCGAUUUGUGCUCCAGAUGUUUUUUUUGUGAGUGUGAGACAGAGACAAUAAAUCAUCUCUUUUUACACUUUAAGGAGACAUUGAAACUUCGGCAAAUUUUCAUCAAUAAAAAGGGCAUCAGUUGGUCUAUGCCAGGAAACAUAAAGGAAACUUUGGCAUGUUGGAAUCGGGAUGGAAAUAAGUCAGGGCACAGGGAGAGAUGGAAGAUUGUCCCAGCCUGCAUUUGGUGGACUAUUUGGCUGGAAAGGAAUCAAAGAUGUUUUGAGAACAAGAGCUGCUCUAUGGAGAAGAUGAAGCUGAAUUGUUUAGCUCUUGUUUUUGGUGUAAACAUAAAUAUCCUCAUGAAGCCCCGUAUUUAAGUGGAGAAGGGUAGAGGGGCGGGCCCAUUAUCCACCGAGUUUAGAAGGCUAUGAUUGGUCCAAAGGGCGGGUCACUGACGGAUUUCUCGGUUAUCAAAAAAAAAAAAAAAAAUAUCCUCAUGAAAAUGAUGAUAUCCCUAGUAUCUUAGAGUUCUUGAGUUUAUAGGAAAACAGCAACACUUCUGUAUUUCUGAUUGUAAGUAUUACUGGAAUACGUCAUGAGUAUUCCUGUGUUUAUAAUACAAGUUACCUUUUCUCAAAAAAGUAGUUUUAUUAAACACAUAAUAAUCACUGUAUAGUACUUCCCAAUUCCAUCAUAUAAUAUACUGGCAACAAACAGGUGGAAACCUAAGAUUUUGGAGCAACACAAUCGACAACUGAAACCACAAUCCCAACACUCAGGUCAUUCCAUUACGCUAAACAAGUGCAGUAACUCAGUAAAAAUAUUCAAGAAACUGAAGGAAUGAUGAGGCUCUAAGCUCUUUGAUGAAAUGAUGAGACUUUAAGCUCUUUGUUACAGAUAAUAAAUCAAAGCUCAGGGACGACAGAGCUGUCUACUACCUAUCUAAAAUGACACCUAUGUAAGGGCAGGACUUUUAUAUUGGCACAGUCAGAUGAGUUAAAAUGCAAGAGUACCAUUUAUUCAAGUUUAGCUCUUCACAAUUGUUUCAACUCAAGCUCAACGACUUAAAUAACUAAGUUUAUUAAAGAAGUAGCAUCAAUAACUGCAUGAACCAGAAUUGCUAAUAUGAAUAAAUCAGACUUUUGUACACCAAAGAGGAAAAGGCAUGAUACUUACCUGUAGUUCAAAUUCCUUCAAUUGUGGGGCAGCCCUUAUUAUAGACGUGCAACCUAAGAGACUCUGGCCUGACACUCUUAGUGAAUUUCCAAAUGUAAUAAAAACAAAUUUCUUGAGCUUCGUAAGUUCAGGAAAAUUGUAAUGCUCCAAAUCUUCGUGCGGAUAAUCAAACUACAGAUAAGGCACCAGUUAGUGCUAGGCUAGUAAAACAAGAGUAGAUAGACACAAACUUUGUUCACUAACCAAUGAUAUACAAGCAUCUACUGUAAGGACCUCCAGCUGAGAGAGAACGCACAAGAGACGAGAGGAUAUGUCAUCCAAUAAAUGGGUGUAUGGCAUACCCAAAAUCUCUACAUCAACCAGCAUCGGGACAUUCUUAAGCAGUAAUACUUUUCCUGCUGAAGUCCUUAAUGAUAUAAGAUUUGUAUCACAAAUUUUAAGUGAUUUUACAUUGAAGCAACUAUAUAUCUCCAAGUGUCUCAACUUGAGGGACGGACCAACAACUUCCAAAUUUUUCAAUGUUCCUGAUCCAUGAACUUGCAUUCUUUCAAGAAAUGGACAAUUGCGUAGAAAGAACUCAAGAACUUGGCCCGUCACAUUUACAGAUUUCAAUAUAAGCACUUUUAGAGACUUGAAAUUCUGGUUGAUAAGUGAGAGUAUUUGGAGGUUAUUAGAGCAUGAAGAAGAAUCUCCAAGACCAAGGAGCCGCUCCGGAAAAGUAUAACAGGAAUCAAAAUUACGAGUGAAUGAUCCACACCUUAAUAAGUCUAACUCUAGUCUUUGAACUUUCUUAGAAAAGGCAAGUUCAAGCCAUUUGUCAAUGUCGUGCUGAGCAAAUUUGCUUAAAUCAUAGUAAACACGAAAUUGGUCAAGUCUCUGGCCUUUAAACUUUUGCAAAGCAGAGUUGACCCAUGUCAGAUACUUGUCCAUAUGCCCUUUUUGUAGCUUGGGUUGCACGAACACUUGAUCCAAGUAUUUUGUAGCAUCAAAAUCAAGGUGAUCAAUAUAUGUCCAUAAGUUUAGCCAACGCCUUGAGAGGAGACUUGUAUCUGCAGCUUCCUUAACAGAAAAGAAAGACAAUAUAUAUACCAGAAUUUCAUCAGGUAACUGACUGACACGAUCUUCUUGUGCAAUGCAGACCUCCUUUUGACACUAGAAACAAAAAAAUUGAUCAAACCACAAGAAUGACAAGAGACUGGAGAAAAGAGAUAUGGGGUUGAGAAAAACACCUUUUUUAAAGCAAAUUUGUUGGAAAGUCGCAGUCUUUUCUCCAUGGGUUCUACAUAAGAUAAUGUUUGUAUUAUUUUUAAUUUUUGUUCCAACCAGGAAGAUACAAUCAUUGCCGAAAGCUAACAAUAAAUAAAAAGGGGACCUUGAUUGCAGUUUAGAUGCAAAAACAAAGGAUAAAACAGAGACAGAGUACCACAAAAACACACUAUUUUUUUAUAAGAUCAAAAAUUGAGAGUAGGAUUCACGAGUACCUGGAAUUACUAAAGGAAGAAGAAGAAAGAUGCUGCUGCGCUGUUCCAAAUUGAGAAAUCGCUCUUACCGUGAAGACGACAGACUAGGGCUAACAUUAUAUAUAGCUUUUGCCUUUUAUAUAAAUAUAUAUAUAUAUAUAUACAUACAUAUAUGAUAUACUAUUAGAUACAAAAGCAUUAUUUUAUUUGUUUUAAUUUUAUAAUUUUGUUUUCAAUUAUUUUUAUAAUAUUUUAAACAUAUUUUUAAAAGGAAAAGGGACUAAAAUAUGCUCGAAGUAUUGAAAAUAGUACACAACUAUCCCUCAUUCACCUAUUGGCUCUCAAAUACCUUCUCCAUCCAUCUAUUGGCUCACAAAUACCCUCCACAUCCACCUUUGGGUCCAAUUUUAGCCACUUCAUUAAUGGAGGACCAUUUAAAAUAAUUAAAUAGUUCUUUUAAUUACGUGGCGCUCAACUAUUGAUUGCAAUUUAAUUAUUUAAUAUAAUUUUAAACCCACCCAUUUUUAACUAAACCCGCCCCAAUACCAAAACAACCCAACUAAUAAAAAAGAACCCUAAAACCUUCGUUCCCAAAUUUACACUCCAUUUUUCAUGAUCCUCAAUCCAACUUGAAAUUGGCCUUUUCCUAAAAGGUCACGUAUAUUUUACAUGUAAAUUUUCAUUGUCAUUUAUAGAAAUUAGGAUAUUGGAACCUAGAGGACAAGAUGGUGCAAUAAUCAACCCUUCUUCCAUGUUUCCCUUUUGCAUAUCUGUUCAUACCCAAGGACUUUUGGGACCUCAUGGUUAAGCUCUAGAAGUAAUUGAUGCUUACUAGAUCAAUUGUGUUGUCUUUUUCUGCAGUUAAAUUGUCCCUUAUAAAAAAAAUCAAUUUCAUAGUCUGAAUUUGCUAUAGCUAACUGUCCUACAGUUGGAGGACAUGCAUGUUAGCCACAUUAUGUAACACUGCACCACCUGUGAAAUGCCGUGAGAUAAUUAAAAUUGAAUUCUUAUGUUAGUUACUUAUUUUUCCUCUCUUUAUGUUGUUUUCCAUAUUUUCUUGUUCGGCAGUCAUGGGAGUAAAACAAAGGCAUUUAUGCAACCUGUACUCUUGUUGUUUAAACACGGGAAUAGAUCAUUACUCCUCUUGUCCCAUAAUAUGUACUAUCACUUUUCACUUCUCGAUAGUCAAUUUGACUAAACUUCGAAGCUAUAUUGAUUGGAUUAAAUCAAUAUUUUAAAAUUAAAAUUUAUAUAUCCCAAAACAAUACGAAAAUUUGGAAACGAAGGUUUUAGGGUUCUUUUUUAUUAGUUGGGUUCUUUUUGUAUUGGGGCGGGCAGGUUUAGUUAAAAAUGGGUGGGUAAUGAGUGGGUUUAAAAUUAUAUUAAAUAAUUAAAUGGCAACCAAUGGUUGAGCGCCACGUAAUUAAAAAGAUUAUUUAAUUAUUUAAAAUAGUGGUCCGUUAAUGAAGUGGCUAAAAUUGGACCCAAAGGUGGAUGGAGAGGGUAUUUGUGAGCCAAUAGGUGGAUGGGGAGGGUAUUUGGGAGCCAAUAGAUGGAUGAGGGAUAGUUGUGUGUCAUUUUCAGUACUUAGAGGGUAUUUUAGGCACUUUUCCGUUUUUUAAAUGAUAUAUAUGACACAUGUAAUAUUUUGAGAGUCCUAAUUUGCAAUAAACCUCAAAUGACUAAAGUGUAAAUUUCAUAUAUGACAUAUAUUAUAGUACUAAUUUCAAGCUAUAACAGUAGAUUUAGACUUUCAAGCUAUAACAUUAAAAAUUUCAGGUUAUAACAAGUUAAAAAAAAUAGUUUUUAUUAAUUGGAAAAACUUAAAAAUAAAUAAAAAGAUAAACGAAAAUUUAAAAAUAAAACGGAAUUAGAAAUAAUAAAGUAAAAAACUAGAAUUGUGGGCUGUAAUUUAAUUUGAAUUUAUUGUAGAUAAUUAAUGAUUAGCAUGAAAUAAGGGAUCCAAACUAAUUAAGAAUAUUUAGUUUCCUUAAUUCACACUAAUUUGUUAAAAUUAAUUCAAAAAUCUGAUUUUAACCAUUUUUCUUCCACGUUUCUCUCUCUUCAAUUUUCUUCCAGAAAUUUUGUCACUGGCGACUAAUUGAAUUUUUUUUUUGUUUGAAAAAUCCUAUUUUUUUUGUGAUAGACAACUACGUAUCAAUACUAAUUAAACAUGGCGGAAGAUGGAUCCUUCAGGUUAGUAUUUUUAAUUGUUUACUAUUUGUAUUUGGAUUUCAGUGAAAUGAAAAAAAAAUGAAACUGUAAAUCACAUUUUGUGAUUUUGUUUUUGUAAANNNNNNNNNNNNNNNNNNNNNNNNNNNNNNNNNNNNNNNNNNNNNNNNNNNNNNNNNNNNNNNNNNNNNNNNNNNNNNNNNNNNNNNNNNNNNNNNNNNNNNNNNNNNNNNNNNNNNNNNNNNNNNNNNNNNNNNNNNNNNNNNNNNNNNNNNNNNNNNNNNNNNNNNNNNNNNNNNNNNNNNNNNNNNNNNNNNNNNNNNNNNNNNNNNNNNNNNNNNNNNNNNNNNNNNNNNNNNNNNNNNNNNNNNNNNNNNNNNNNNNNNNNNNNNNNNNNNNNNNNNNNNNNNNNNNNNNNNNNNNNNNNNNNNNNNNNNNNNNNNNNNNNNNNNNNNNNNNNNNNNNNNNNNNNNNNNNNNNNNNNNNNNNNNNNNNNNNNNNNNNNNNNNNNNNNNNNNNNNNNNNNNNNNNNNNNNNNNNNNNNNNNNNNNNNNNNNNNNNNNNNNNNNNNNNNNNNNNNNNNNNNNNNNNNAAGCGUGUCCAGUAAUCUAAAAAAAAAGUUAUUUGAAAUUUUGACGAAUUGUAUGAUAAGUGUUUUAAGGUUGUAUUAAUUUUGAAAUUUUAUUGUUGACAUUUUUGUAUAAAUUUGUGUGACUUUAAUGGAGUAUUUUCGUAAAAAAAAUGCACAUAUUUGUUGUAUGAAAUUUGUAUUAAAAUAGUAUGAAAGUGUUUGGAAUGUACUAUUUGAAUGAUAUUUGUAUGAAAUGUUUUUUUGAUUGAAUAUAAAAAUUGUUUUGUAAUGUUAUGUCUGUGUGAAUGAUAUUUGUAUUUCGAAUUGUUUGUUUAUAAUGUGAGACUAAUUUAUAUUUUUUUAAUGAAACAGGGAAUUAUGUCGAUUUUCAAAGGAGGGGGUUUGCUGAUGUGAAAUUCAAAAGGUCAAAAGUUACCUGUAGUAGAUGUCGUCAAGUUGGACAUAACAGGAAAACAUAUUCAAAUUAUCCUAUGCAAAAGUAAUGAAUGUUCAUUUGUUAAGACUAUAUAUAAUUUAUUUAUUUUUAUUGGUUAUAUUAAUGUUUUGGUUUGAUAUAAAACAUAAUAAUUUUGUGUUUAGCGUACUAGUUAUUAUUUAUACACUGUUCAUUCAGUUAUCAUACAUAAUGCAUAUUGUUAUAAAUUUAGUGCUUGAUAUUGUGUUUCAAUUUAUACACGAUUCAUUCAUUAAGUCCACAAAAUCCAUACAUUUGUUACUAAAAAUUGUUCCAGAUUAUCAUUUCAUCUUCUACAGUUCUGCUACAAGGACAUAUUAGUUGUCAUGAUUAUUGGUAAGUACUAUUUGGACACAAAAUUAAGCCAAAGUCGAUCCAAAUAGGCUCUAAAACUUCUUUCUUUUGCCCCUCCAUAAAUAGCAAGCUUGCAAUUUAAGUCUCCACUUUCAUGGUUAAAGUGAAGACUUUUUUAUUUGAGUUAAGCAUUUGACAGAUUUUACUAAAUGAAUUUUAGAAACUAAUCUCUUCUUAUAAUAAGUGUAUCUAACCAAAGACAAGGUAACUGUCAACAAGUAGAAGCGGGGUUGUGGAAAUUUGAAUACGGAGAAGAAAAACUUCUUAGAACAAUAUAUAAGGGCUCUUCUAGGCUACAACAAUUAUAUUUAUAGAAAGAAAAAUUCAUAGAUUGUCCCCUACUUUUCAUAAUAUGUGAUAUUUUAGGAAGUCAUUUCAAUUGUUAUAGUAGGAAUGUUAAUCUUCGUGAUGAAAUUUAAUAAACUACAACUGAAAGUUCUCAAGAGAAGUGAGUACAAUUAAAAACUUUCUUUUUCAUUGUUUUGGCCACUUACAUUUACUAUUGAUGUUGGAUAGCUUUUAUUAUUUACAAUUUGUAGUAUCAAGUUCAGAGCACCUUACUUGAAGUAGGAUUAUAGUGUUGAGUUUGGAGUACCUUUUUUAUUGUAAUUUGAAUUUUUUUAUCUUUUCAAGUACACAGAAAAAGUGUAUAUUGACAAUGACACCUCCUUUUGUGUGAUGUUUUCUUAAAAUUGAUAAAGUAUUGUGUAUUAUAAUCGCAAAACUAAAACCCAUAUUGUUCAACUGCCACAAUUGUUUCAUUUGGCCAAGUUUGAGAUGUACUGAUUUUAUAACAACAAAUUUGUGAUCUACAUACUGCAAGUCCAACAAACUGUUGGAGUUGAACUGUGAUGUUAAAUUAAAGAUGUGUAUAAUGUAUUAAAACACUAUCUGAAUCUUGAGGUAUUAAACAUGUUUAGGUAGAAUGUUGAAUUUAGAGAGUUACCUAUGUAGAAAGAGUCAUUAUCUUUUAAAUAAAGAUUUUAGCUAAAACUCCUCCAAACUUUGUGUAGAAGCUUUAGUAGUGGUAAUUCACGUGUGAUUAGUCACCAAGACGGAUUGUUGGAGUAAAAUCUGGCUCAUAGUUUAUAGUUACUACUUGAAUACGUAAGUUAGUGUCUCAGUUGUGUAAGCUAUUUUGUAGGUCCAGAGUUGUAUAUGCUGUGUGAGAACUCUUAAGUUUCUGCGAUAUGCAAAUCUUAUUUGUCUUAUUUUGUAUAGAGUACAUUUGUUGAAAGAAUUUGUGCAAAUGAUGUAGAUAGGACAUCUUUUGAUACUUUCUAUUUUAGCUUGAUAUAUUUAUUUUAUAUAUCUUUGUGUUGUAAAAAAUUGUAUUGUUGCACAUGUGAGAGCUAAUAAGGAUAUCUUCAUUCUGCUUUCUUUAAUUAUACUGAAAGCAGUUAUAGAAAGCUGAGUUUGGGAUAUAUGUAAAUAAAAUAAAGCAGAGUAUUUUUUAUUUUAAAAAAAGUUAUAUAUGGGUUGAUAUUUUAAGAGUUGCAUAUCAGGCAUUUGAAUAUCGACCUUUUUGUGGAGCUGGUGAUAAGAGUAAGGAGCUUGAGUUUUAGUUUUUAGUUUUUGCUUCUCUAGGUCUGCACUUCAUUUCUUGCGUGCCAAUUCAAAUGUUUUCUUUUUCUUGUUGAAAGUUAUCUUACAGCUAUGAUGUGGUUAUAUUCUUUUCCAAUAAUAACUAAUGGCUUAUCUUCCUUUUUCAUAUUUUUUUUUGGGUGAUUGCCCUGUUUGUCUGCUUUAGGUGUCAAUUCUUGCCUUUGUUCUGCUGCUCCUCCGGUGAGUUGCAACUUUAAUUUUUUUACCUCUUUUCUUGAUCUAUUCAGUACUUUUGCAUAUGAGUGUCACCAUAACAAUAUAUAUAAAUCAUCUAUUUACUUCAUGUUAUGGCUUUUGUAUAUUGUUAUGAUUUUUUUAAUUAGUAUUUACACAUGUACACACCAGGUGUUUGAAGAAUGUGACUGCUUUUUAGCGUUGUUAAUAGUUGUAUGAUAAUUGCUUACAGAUGCAAAAGUGGGAUUCUCAAAAAGGAGAUAGAUAGUAUGAUCUAUAUCCUUUGUGAUGCAAUGAGCUGCCACCUUUCACUGCGCCGAUCCUAGCAAAGUUAGCAGAUUCAGUCUUCAUAUAUCUAUUAUACGACAUGAGGAUUUAUUGGUGAGUUCCAAUCGUUCUUUUUCUUGGUGUAUUUAUCUAAUUUCAGUUUGUACGAAGCUUUAGGACAGAAAAAGAUAGUAGAGUAUUUUUUCCUAUAUUGCAGCCUGCAGUUUUUAAGACUCUUAAAUUUCUUAAUAGGUAGAACUAAGUGCAGAAAAGAGAACAUUUAUUGUUAUAAUUUGUAUUUGUGGCAUGAUGUGAUAUAUCCAAUUGUCUUACUUUGUCUAAAACUAUCCUCUUCUCCUAGCAAUUUCGCAAUCCCAAAAUCACUUAAAUGGACAACCGUGUUUUCAUCUAGCAAAAUGUUGCUAGGCUUCAAAUCACAAUGCACUACUGGCUGUGAAUAAUCGUUAUGGAGAUAGUCUAAAGGCUACAUCGAUCAUUAUGUCCAACUUUUGCAACAUGUCUGAAUAUGCAUAAGUCAUAAGAGUGUAACCAUUUGUUAGGGCUGUCAUUUGGCAAGUACUCCAAAAUAAGGCCUUGAAAAUAUCUCAUAGAGAUUCUAUAAAUGCUCAAAUUAGUUAGACAUAGUCAUAGAAAUCAAGCUCAUGCGACACUGACAUUAGUGAAGAAUGUCCGGACUCCAUUUUAUGGGACUAAAUUGGGUAUAUUGUUGUUGUAUGUAUAGUCAUAGUACUUAAGUAGAACGAGCUACAUUAGACUUGAAACAACCUAAGUAUCUAAUAAUUUUAGUUUCAUACUUCAUUUGUUGUGCCAAGAAUUAGUGUCCAGGAAAGCUACUGCUUCGUCACUUUAAGAGGUGAACCGUUGCGAAGUGGUAUAACAAUGUUGCAAAGUUUUGAAGCGAAGCACCUUAGAGAAGCAAGUGCUUCAAUGGCGAAGUGAGGUUAAGUGUGAAGUAAUAUGAAGCAUCUCUCCUUUAUAAUAUAUAUCAUAAACAUUUUAAAAGGUUUAUUUUAAGAAGUUCAACAUCAAAAUUUUACAUUUCAGACGGCAAGGGUUUCACGUCCUCUCUGAUGAUUGAAUUUCAGGUAAGCAUCUUUUCUAGCUUUUUCUCCUUUCUUCUUCUACUUAUCCAUCGUCCUUAGGUGUUUCUUUUCUUUCAUCAUCUACUUUCUUCAUCCUAAUUUCAAAUGUAAUAGGUGAUUUUGAUCAAAGACAAUCCAGAAGAAAUUGAUUGCAACACUAGAUGCAUCUGUUAGUGUCUGAUUUAUAAAUAUAGUAUAUAUAAAUGUAGUUAGUACUCUCACAUAUGCAAAUAGUAUGACAUUCACAAAACAUGUAGAGAAACACAUUUAGCAGCUAUACUAUGUUCGAUAUAAUGGUAUUUAUAUGUAAUUUAAUCAUUUAUAUUAAUCGAUUUUAGAUUAAGAAUAAGACUACACAUUGGGCCCGUGCACGAAUUUUCGCUUAUUUUACAAAAGUCAUUCCAAGUACAUGCAUUACUUCUAUUGAUCCACCAUGUUCACCCACUAACUUCUCAAAGUUGCAAAGAUAUUUUUAGAUUAUGACAUUUCCCUUAAAAUGUUCAUUAGGAAUCUGUAAAGCUUGCUUAAUGUUGAAUAAUAGAAGAUAUGGCUUUUUCUAUCUUGUCUUGAUAUAGAAGUUUACUGUAAGCAGUGAUGUGACAAUAUUGACAAAUUUCCAUGUGAAUGAACAAAUAAAGAAGAUCUCAUUUAGAAGUAUGCGUCGGAAUGCUUUCCGGUAUCCUUGACAUAGACAAACAAAUCAUGUUGUUCUCAUUACCUUUAUUCAAUUGUGUCUCUUCAUCAGUUUUGCAGGUUAGAGUAUCUUCUUCUUCAUUUUCAGCCACUACACCAAAACAGAGUGUCUAUAACAUUUCACGUUUUUUUAUUUACAUGACGCUUGAUAUUAGAUAUAUUACUGAAAUGCUUCAUAAAUUGCAGAUAUGCAUAUUUCAUAUCUGGUGUCUUCCAGUCUUAAGUUGUCCAAUAAUCAUUUGUUUAUGUAGGAGUACAAUGUACAAUUAUUAAAUAUACGUACUUUCUAAGGACACGCUAUUUUCCCAUGAUAGAACAAAGUAUAUUUUGUUGCAGUGCAGUUGUAACUUAUAACCAUCUAAUCAUGUGAUUGCUUCAGAAGUUUUGACUGAUAGACUAUGGUGCUUAGACUCUCUUAAAAUGUUGUCGGGUUCGGAUCCUUUAAAAGUAGUGUAUUUUUGUAGGUAUAACUUUUGAAGUACUACUGAUAAAUUUAAUCAGGCUAAUAGUUUUGUUGUUUCAGGUUUGGAUGAUGGAUGAUAGACAUAAGUGAUAAAUCUAUUCAUUUUUCUAGGGGCAAAAUGUAGAUAAACACAUUGUUUGUGCACCUUUUUUUUGUGUGAAUUUCAAAGUUAAUUUUCACUUAGAUGUAUACAAAUGAUGGUGAUGGGGCUACUGGUUCUUACCUAUGAAGUAUGCUCAUGAAGCUAUGGCUGCAAUAAAUUUUAUGGGAAGGGUUGGGCACGUGUAAUUUUGAAGAUUGUUGCCUUAUGUUAAAAAGAAUGCCUACGCUUUUAUGUUGUCUCUGUGAUUUUAGACAUUUAUUAUACAAACAAGGAACUAAGGGGUCGUUUGGUACAAAUAUUGAUAAUGUAGGGAUUAGUAACGCAAGGAUUAGUAAUGCAGGGAUUAGUAGUGCAUGAAUUUUUUUUGUCAAGUGUUUGGUUCACUACUUUUUACUUAAUUCUGUGUUUGAUUUAAAACUCUACAAAAAAUUUCUUUCCUAUUAAUACCCUUGUGUUAUUAUGAGUGUUUAUUUCAUGUAAUUGGAUCAAGGUAGAUGACCGUCGAAUCAGACAAUUUUUUUAGUAGGAAUUUCUAUUCCAUUUAAAUAGUUAAAUCAAAUAUAUAUAUAUAUAUAUAAUUGUUAUUAAUUUUAAGGUGUGAUGUAUCACUAAGAAGAUCAUUGAUGGCACGGUGUAUUUCUACUUUUUUGUUGGUCAAGUAUAUCUUAAACUUAACAUAGAUUUAAGACUGCUUAAAUUGUUCAAUAUCAAAAGCUUAUUUAAAAAAAAAAAAACAAAUAGUUCAAGUGGGUAAUCGACAAACUAUCUUGAAUAAAAAAAAUUCAAGAAAAAAAUGGAGAAAAAAAAUAUUAGUGAACUCACUAAAAUUACACUAAACGGAUUUGGAGAAUUAAAAAAAGAACAUUUAUAACCAUUUUAAGAUAAAUAAAAGGAAUUAAAUUACAAAAGAAAUUUUAGAAAAAGAAAUAAGGGGUUAGUUUAGUCAUUUAGGGGUCUUAUCCAAGGUUUAACAAACCUUGGAUUAGUUAUCCCUCCAUUUUCUAGGGAUAAGAUAAGACCACAUAUGGUGGAUAAGCAAUCCAUGGAUUAAAUUAAAUGAAGUAACCAAACAAUGUAUUAGAUGGACUAAAUUUUAAUUCAUGAAUUAUUCUAUUUAAUAUCGCUUACCAAAAGACCUUGGCAUAAUAACACUCGCCGGCAAAGACCUCGGCAUAAUAACACUCACCGGCAAAGACCUCAGCAUUAUAACACUCACCGAAAAAGACCUCGGCAUAAUAACACUCCACAUGUCUCAUCACGGUGUUCAACAUCAAAGCACACAACCAAUAUCACACCAUAUAGAAAAGACAAUAUUUUGCACAAUUCAAGUCCACACUCAUGCUUUCAAGCAUUCCAUCAAUCAAUUAUCAAGGGUCAUAAUAAGGGAUUUCACAUUAUCAUGUUCAACACAUAGCUUUUUUCAUUUCAACCCGUUUUUAUUCAUUUUGAUAUAACAAGUGGACAAUUUAAACCCUUCACCUCAUUCCCAUUACUCCCAACACACAAUCAAUAAAAGAAGCAUACAAAUUCAAACUAGAAUACAAGUUCACUUGCCUUAAAUCAAUCAACAAUCACUUCAAUAGUCACGUCUUCCCCUUAUGAAUCACUUCCAAAGCAACAUAAUCUAUACAAAGCAAGUACUUAGAGUCACUCUCUGAAAACAACAGCACCCACAACAAUUCCCUUGAAAGGUGGGUCAAAAAACACGAUACCCAAUUCCAAAAAUUAAGGUUUGAAUCCAAAAAACAAUACUUGAAAACAUUGCUCAAAGCUUUAGGAAUUUAUUAGGGAAAAUCAUUUCGAAAUAGGACUUGAAAUCAACUCACAAGCUCCAUGUUAGCUAAGAACUUGGGUUCUUGAAUAACCUCAUCAUUUACCAAUCAAAACCUCAUAUUUUGAUGUUAAAACUUACAAUUAAUCAAAGGAAAAUGAAGGUUUAUGAUCAAGAACACUUACCCAACUGAUCUAGCACAUAAAAUCCUUUCAAAAUCUGCCACCAAGGAUUUCCAAGUACAAAAAUGGUGAUAUGGGGCUUAAACCCCGAAAAUGACAGCAAAACCCCUCUCUGAUGUCGCAAAAGCAAACAAGCAAACCCCUCUAAAAUCGUGGGUCUCGCUUAAGCGAAGACUCCUUUGAUUUUGCGAACCUUGCUUAAGAGAAGAGACUGCUAGCCUCGCUUAAGCGGCCAGCCUUAACAAAAGCAAGGCCUGCAGACACCAACAAAAUACAAGCAACUCUCAAAACAUCAAAAGGACUUUUGGAAUUCGUUCGGAACCCCGUACAUACAAAACACAUAUGCAAAUCAAUUAUACUCGACUUUUCAGAUUCAAUGGAACCAUCAAAACAUGAAUCUGAGGUCUUCUUGACCCAAAAUCUAUGAAAACUACUAGAAACCAACUCACGCCUUAAAAGGAUAAAACAAACUUGGGACCCAAGGCUAAAUUUUCACAAUUUCACAAUUUAAGACCUCAAAUCCUCAAAAAGAUUCAGAAUCAAAAACUGAUGACUCUCAUGGAUCAGAUCUUAUGUUUCGGGACUGAUGGAAUAGACAGAAUCCCAUUCCGACACUCGAACCUCCAAAAGACACUGAAAAUCACUUUCUUAACAACUUAGCCUUUCAAACUCUAAACUUACCAAAUUCUCAACUUUUAACCCAAAGUUUAAAACCAAAAUUUUAAAAUCAAUCAAAAACGACGCGGGGUUGACAUCGAGAGUAAAAACGGUAAUCUUCACAAAAAAAAACAAACAAUGUCUGAUCGAAUAGUUACACAAUAGUUGAAUUCACGUAACUCUAGUAGAUGCUCCAUGGUCUUAUUGUGAUAUGUGACCUAAAGAUAUACUCCCUCCGUUUCACAAAGAAUGACCUCCUUUCCUUUUUAGUCUGUUUAAAAAAGAAUGACCUCUUUCCUUUUUUUGUAACAUUUUACUUUUUGCUUUCCACGUGGCAUGUUUAAGACCACAAGAUUAAGGGCAAUUUUGUACAUUUGACAUAACUUUAAUUUAGGACCACAAGAUUCAAAAGUCUUCUUUAUUUACUUAAACUCCGUGUUAAGUCAAACCAGGUAAUUCUUUGUGAAACGGAGGGAGUAUUAUUUAAGUGAUCUUUUUGUUUCAUUAAUCAAUAUACGAUUUUAGUUGGGUCAUUAUUUUGUUUUAAUGAUUACUAAUUAGUUUUGGAGUUGCACAUGUUUUAUCUUUGUGCUUGAAUAAUUUGGUGAGUGUAUAGAUAUUUAGUACGCCCGACAGGUGGUGUUAGCGGGUAUCAAUCACGUUUAAGGGGUAGUUUGGAAUGUGACAAAGUUGGUAUCAGAGCAUAUGCUUUAAGCCAUGGGUCGUGGAGAAGUGUUUGGUAGAGUCUGGUUCAUGGUAUAUAGGCGGCCCUAAUUAUUACCUUGAGGCUACUGAACAUUUAUGAUGUUUUCCCUUUUUUCAUUCUUUGUUUGUGCGUUGAGUUAAAUCAAGUCUAACCCUUGAAUAUUAUUUCGCAGAUGUCUAAGAAACGUGGUUUUUCAUCUACUAUUCGAUCUAAUGCAUCUGUUGAACGUGGUGCAGGACUUGGUACUACCCCAAGUGGUGUCAUGGUAGGUCUCAUCGAACUAGGUAGGGGUGUAUGAAAUUGAACCGCAAACCGAACCAAACCGCGAACCGAGUCAAACCGAAAAAUAAACUCGACUAGUGGUUUGGUUUGGCUUGGUUUGGUAUUGAAAAAAAAGACCCGACUAUAUUUGGGUUGGUUUGGUUUUAACUAAAAAAAACCAACCCGAGACCAAACCAACCCGACAUUAUAUAUGUAAUUUUAAAAUUUUAUUUUAUACAUAAAAAUGUUUAUUAAUAUAUAAUUUAUAUAUUUUUCUUAAUCUUUCUCACAAUUUUAUGUUUAAUAUUAGUGGACUUUGGGCUACAUUGUUGACUUGAGCCCACUUGUUAUUUUUAGGAAUAAACAAAAGCCCAAAUAAAUUAUACAAUUCAACUAUCCCUAUAUAAUAUUCUCUAUCUCAUUUAACAAAGGUCAUUAGGUCAGCAACUCUUCACCUUCAAAGGCUUAGUCACUGUUAGGUUUUACUCCUUAGCUAUUAGGGCAUAUAUUGAGCUCGUCUUUUGAAUUUUAGUUCAAAUCAUCAUCAACUCAUCUUAAUCUAGGUAAGCAAUUGCUACUAACUCGUUUUUAGAUAUUUUUCUUGUAUUGCAAUUUUCAACAAUAUCUCAAUUUUGGGUAGUUGAAUCAUAGAUAUAAACCUAAAAAUUAUACAUCUUGGUGUCCAUAUCUAUGGUGUGUUAAGCUUAGCAACAAGAUGAUGAUAAAUUUUUUGUAUAUAAGUUUCACUUAUUUCUCUCUUUACUUAUGUUGUUUUAAUGCAAUGAAAAAUGGGCAAGUGUUCGACUCAUUGCUUUUGGUUCCAUUUGUAUGGAGGUUUUUGUUCUGUAAACAUCGUGAUGGUCCACAGAGAUAAGGAAAAACAAGUGAUAGAGAUAAAAAUUUAAAAGACUAUUAGAUUUUGAUAGCAGUAGCCAGUAAUAUACAUCAAACUUUUCUGACCAAAUAUUUUGUACUAUAUUUGUAUCUAUUUUGGUUUCAAAGUGAAAUAUACUUCUAAGUCUUGUGCACAAUACUUGAAUGGAAGUCUUGUUGAAACACAAUCUUGUAUCAGAAUACUAAUAACUAUUGUUAUGUAUGUGCAGCAACUUUCUAUUUGGAUGGAAACUACACCUUCUGUAACGGAUGUAGAUGUGAUUAAUAAUAUUCCUUCAACUAUGUCGACAAUUAUAUCUCAACAACAAGGCAAAGUAACUCCACGUCGACGCAUACCUCCUAAGCAGCAAAAAAAAGCAGCUCCUCCGGUCGCUCCUAACUCUGGAACUAUAGGUAGAGAAACAUCUCAAAUUUGGGAUCAUUUCUCCAAGUUUAUUGCUAAAGGAGGUAAAUGUAGGGCAAAAUGUAAUUAUUGUACUAAAACAUUUGCUGCCGACAGUGUCAAUGGGACAACUACGUUAUGAAAUCAUUUAACUGUGAAAUGUCUCAAGUCUCCAUUUAAGUCCGAUAAGUGGCAAACAACAUUAAAACCUAUUAAAAGAGGUUGGCCAGAAGGUGGUUCCACUGAAAAAGGGGUGUUUAAUAUGGAUGAAAUUAAGAGAGCAAUUACCGAAUUUAUAAUUAUUGAUGAGCAACCGUUUAGAGCUGUUGAGGGAGAAGGAUUCAAAAAAUUAAUGGCUAAAGCCUUUCCAAAUUUUGAAGUACCUUCUCGUGUAACUGUUGCUCGACAUUGUCUAAGGAUUUAUCAAGAAGAGAAAGAAAAGCUUAAGGAGCUUAUAAAAAACCAACGUGUUUGUCUUACCAGUGAUACAUGGACGUCAAUCCAAAAUUAUACUUAUAUGGUCGUCACUGCACAUUGGAUUGAUGAUCAAUGGAAUCUACAAAAGAGAAUUCUUAAUUUUUUUCAAACACCAGAUCACAAAGGUGAGACUAUUGCCAAGGGGAUUGAGGAUUGCUUAUUAGGUUGGGGCAUUGAGAACUUGUUUACAGUGACCUUGGAUAAUGCAACUGCAAAUGAUGCUGCCAUUAAGAGUUUAAAGGGGCGUAUUGAAGAUUGGAAAGUGGUAAUGUUUGAAAAUCAAUUUUUACAUGUUAGAUGUACUGCUCAUAUUUUAAACUUGAUUGUAAAAGAGGGGCUGGAUGAACAAAUUGAGCCUAUUUCUCAUAUAAGAAGUGCUAUAAAAUAUGUCAGGUCUUCAUCUUCAAGAUUUGCUACUUUUAAGUCCGUUGUUGAGAAAGUUAAGAUUAACACCCGUGGUCUUGUAAGUCUGGAUGUUGAGACUAGAUGGAACUCGACAUACACAAUGUUGGAUAAAGCUUUGAAAUUUGAAAAAGCUUUUGCAAGAAUGUAUGUGGAUGACCAGAAUUAUCAAAAGCAAUGUCGAGAAAUAGGUACAACAACAAAAAUCCAUCAACAGAUGAUUGGAAGAAUGUGAAAGCUUUUGUGAAGUUUCUUAAUAUUUUCUAUCAAGCAACUUAAAAUUUUCAGGCAGCUUAUAUUCUACUUCUCACUCUUUCUUUCAUGAUUUUUUCAAUCUCCGAAAUGAUAUUAUCAAGUAUACUAAACAUGAUCAUCUCAUUUUGGUUGAUAUGGAAACAAGAAUGAAAUCCAAGAUGGAUAAAUAUUGGGGUAAGUUUGAGAGUAUGAAUAUGUUACUGAUGGUUGCUGUUGUGUUGAAUCCUAGAUACAAGAUGUAAUAUGUCGAGUAUAUUCUUUCUAUUGCAUAUGGCUCUUUGAUGGGAAGAUUAAAGUCUCAAGAUGUGAGAGAUGUUUUGAAUCUCUUAUAUAAUCACUACAAUUGUUCUUGCUCUGAAGAUCCUAACGAAAAUAUUGAAAAUGAUGAUUGUGUGAUGGGUGAAUCUAGUGAUUUGUUGCAAUCUCAGUGGGAGAAACACAUGAAUAAAGAGGGAUUUGUUGUAAAAAAAAUCUGAUCUGGAAAUAUACUUGAAAGAUGAUGUAGUGAAGAUCAAUGAUUUUAAUAUUUUGAGUUGGUGGAAAGUUUCGUCCUGUAGAUACCCAAUUGUUGCGAAAAUUGCUAGGGAUAUCCUUUCUAUUCCUAUUUCUACUGUUGCAUCUGAGUCAGCUUUUAGUACAGGUGGUCGAAUUCUUGAUAGUUAUCGAAGUUCUUUAUCUCCAAAAACGGUAGAAGCGCUUAUUUGCAUUCAACAAUGGCUACGAUCGCCUUCUAAAGAAUGCAAGCUUGAAGAUAUAUUAGAGGAAGUCCAGAAAAUUGACGAAAUUGAAGAAGGUAACUUAUAUAUUCUAAUUGUUAUUAAAAAUGAUUCUGCUUUUGAAUUUUAUUUAGUAUUCAAUUUGUUUCAAUUCUUUCAGAAUACCCCGACUAACCUUUGAGGAUUGAUUAGCCAGUUGAUGUACUUUAAUUUCACGUUGAUUUGUAUUGUCUACUUUGCAGAUGUAGGCUAUGGUUUUUGGAAAAUUUGUAUAGAAGAUCUCACUUCAAAAAUGUUUUGUUCCUCUAGGUACAAGGUCCUAGGUUGUAAGUAAUGAUGGUGUAGAAUUUAAAGAUUUGAAUGUAAAUAACUCGUAUUAACUUUUGACGACUAUUUUGACUAUGCAAAAAUUGUUUAAGCCACUAUGUUACUUUCAUGAAUUUCUCUAAUGUAUGAUGAAUCACUCUUGAUUAUUGAUAUUAUUUUAUGAUUUGUCCAAAAUAGUAAUAGUAGUAAUUUUUUGAGAGUUUGUGUUCCAAAUAGAAUGGAGAAUUGCCUAUUGAACUCAUGGGCUUGCAAUGCCAAAAGAAACUACCGAAUGCUUUUCUAGGAUGAAAAAUCAUGUUAGUGUUCAACGUUUUUUUUAAAUCACUGAAAGAACACAAGCUCUUUAGUCUUUAUAAAAAAACCCGAGAAAAUCGAAUAACCCAAAAAAAACCGAGAUUGAAAAAAUCCGACUAUUAUUGAUUUGGUUUGGUUUAUAUAUAUUUUAACCCGAUACAAAUGGUUUGGUUUGAUUUUUAAAAAACCCAAACCAACCCGGUGAUGUACACUCCUAGUACUAGGGCUUAGACAAGGACAAAUGCCGCUCCUCAGCUUGAAAUUACGAAUAAGGUAGUUGGUGAUCCAGGCUCUUUCCCUCUCGACGAUGAAUUUUGGUAUAAUGUUCUGCAAGCUUUUGUAGUACUUCACUUGUAUACCUGACAGUACACUGCAUUUUCUUUUCCUUCUAUUUUUUGUUGUUCAUUUUCCAGUUUCUUUUCAUGAGUAAACAAAAUUUGAUAAUGGUUCGUAUCUUAUAUAUUUUGUUUCAAAUUAAUUUUUGAAAGGGUGCCUUUUUAAAGUACAUGCCCCAAUGUGUUUUUAUAUUACGACAUUUUUCUUUAUUGGAGUUGUUACAUUUUUUCAACACCUGUUGUGUGGAUUAAAGAAUCUCUCCACAUGCUGUGGUGAGGUGAUGUUGCCGGAGCAAUAAUCUCAACAGAGCAGUAUGUCAUAGUUAUCGUACCAAAUUCCUUGAUGGUUGUACUUUGCUUUGUCAAGACUGGAAAUGUGUCUGGAUUAAUCAAUUUCCAAAUGGUACAUGCUUCCACCAAAGUUUUUACUAUGAUCAAUUUACAUCAGCAAUGUGGGGGAAAGAAUGAGCAGCAGGAAUCCUACUAAUUGAGUUAAG